RNAcentral lists this ribosomal RNA (639 nucleotides) under Arthrobacter sp. ZD19. RNAcentral's name for it is "bacterial SSU rRNA". It matches the Rfam family "Bacterial small subunit ribosomal RNA", at positions 75 to 716 of the family's 1533-position model. The record is from RNAcentral. Lineage: Bacteria; Bacillati; Actinomycetota; Actinomycetes; Micrococcales; Micrococcaceae.
UCACUUGUGUGGGGGAUUAGUGGCGAACGGGUGAGUAACACGUGAGUAACCUGCCCUUGACUCUGGGAUAAGCCUGGGAAACCGGGUCUAAUACUGGAUACGACCUUCCCGCGCAUGCGGUGUUGGUGGAAAGCUUUUGCGGUUUUGGAUGGACUCGCGGCCUAUCAGCUUGUUGGUGGGGUAAUGGCCUACCAAGGCGACGACGGGUAGCCGGCCUGAGAGGGUGACCGGCCACACUGGGACUGAGACACGGCCCAAACUCCUACGGGAGGCAGCAGUGGGGAAUAUUGCACAAUGGGCGCAAGCCUGAUGCAUCGACGCCGCGUGAGGGAUGAAGGCCUUCGGGUUGUAAACCUCUUUCAGUAGGGAAGAAGUCGGCCUUUCGGGGUUGGUGACGGUACCUGCAGAAGAAGCGCCGGCUAACUACGUGCCAGCAGCCGCGGUAAUACGUAGGGCGCAAGCGUUAUCCGGAAUUAUUGGGCGUAAAGAGCUCGUAGGCGGUUUGUCGCGUCUGCCGUGAAAGUCCGGGGCUUAACCCCGGAUCUGCGGUGGGUACGGGCAGACUAGAGUGCAAUAUGGGAGACUGGAAUUCCUGGUGUAGCGGUGAAAUGCGCAGAUAUCAAGAGGAACACCGAUGGC